RNAcentral lists this non-coding RNA (31 nucleotides) under Rattus norvegicus (Norway rat). Lineage: Eukaryota; Metazoa; Chordata; Mammalia; Rodentia; Muridae. The record is from RNAcentral.
ACCCAAGAAAUGCUUUAUAAACCCUGUCCUC